RNAcentral lists this ribosomal RNA (253 nucleotides) under uncultured bacterium. RNAcentral describes it as "partial 16S ribosomal RNA". It matches the Rfam family "Bacterial small subunit ribosomal RNA", at positions 524 to 776 of the family's 1533-position model. The record is from RNAcentral.
UACGUAGGGUCCGAGCGUUGUCCGGAAUUAUUGGGCGUAAAGGGCUCGUAGGCGGUUUGUCGCGUCGGGAGUGAAAACUCAGGGCUCAACCCUGAGCGUGCUUCCGAUACGGGCAGACUAGAGGUAUGCAGGGGAGAACGGAAUUCCUGGUGUAGCGGUGGAAUGCGCAGAUAUCAGGAGGAACACCGGUGGCGAAGGCGGUUCUCUGGGAAUAUCCUGACGCUGAGGAGCGAAAGUGUGGGGAGCGAACAGG